GAUGAACGCUGGCGGCGUGCCUAAUACAUGCAAGUCGAGCGAACAGACGAGGAGCUUGCUCCUCUGACGUUAGCGGCGGACGGGUGAGUAACACGUGGAUAACCUACCUAUAAGACUGGGAUAACUUCGGGAAACCGGAGAUAAUACCGGAUAAUAUAUUGAACCGCAUGGUUCAAUAGUGAAAGACGGUUUUGCUGUCACUUAUAGAUGGAUCCGCGCCGCAUUAGCUAGUUGGUAAGGUAACGGCUUACCAAGGCAACGAUGCGUAGCCGACCUGAGGGGGUGAUCGGCCACACUGGAACUGAGACACGGUCCAGACUCCUACGGGAGGCAGCAGUAGGGAAUCUUCCGCAAUGGGCGAAAGCCUGACGGAGCAACGCCGCGUGAGUGAUGAAGGUCUUCGGAUCGUAAAACUCUGUUAUUAGGGAAGAACAAAUGUGUAAGUAACUAUGCACGUCUUGACGGUACCUAAUCAGAAAGCCACGGCUAACUACGUG
RNAcentral lists this ribosomal RNA (497 nucleotides) under uncultured bacterium. RNAcentral's name for it is "partial 16S ribosomal RNA". It matches the Rfam family "Bacterial small subunit ribosomal RNA", at positions 28 to 507 of the family's 1533-position model. The record is from RNAcentral.